Molecule: long non-coding RNA, 1327 nt
Organism: Copidosoma floridanum
Lineage: Eukaryota; Metazoa; Arthropoda; Insecta; Hymenoptera; Encyrtidae
Source: RefSeq, a predicted model, not a curated record
CAAAGAGAAGUGUGUCCCGCUGAUGAUUUCCAGCAAACAAAGUAUCACGGGCUCAAUUUGUUCAAAGUGAAAAAUGAGCAUCACUUUGACAAAUUUGCUGGUGCCCUUGGAGACAUUGAAAUUUUCCUGGUGAAAAAAGAAGUGGCCAGUGUUACUUUGGCCCUUAUAAAUGUAGACACGAGGGAAUACCUCGAAAAGUGGACAUUCGAGAUUACCUACGAAGACGAGUCAGAUGGUGGUUCCCAGGACCACAGCUCCUCCUCUUGUGGGACAAAAGAUACCGAGACCAUCCAAAGAGAGAUACGUGCUGUGAUAAAACAAAUUUUGGGCGUGGUAACCAUAUUGCCUUUUUUGGACGAAAACAAAAUUGUUUAUUCCAUCCAGGCUACACCAAGACCAGGAGUACCUUUGUGGGACGGCUGGUAUCCGAUUACAGAGGACACCAGCAUUAAAAAUCAGGAAGAUAUAAAGCUUAAAGACUUUUCGACAUCCAUUCAUGGAGUCCAUACUAUUGUGCAAUAUAAAAAAGCCUAAGAGUGCCAAUUAGUUAACCUUCAGGUGGCAUAGAAAAGUUUUUUCUUUUUUCUGUAAACAAAAUUUAAUCGCUUAUGAAAAGUAAUGUUGAAAUACGGAAGAAUACAAACAUUUUUUUUUAUUUUCAUCGGGUCGGUCCUAUGGAUUAUCGGAAAACUUGAUACGAAUUUUUUGUUUGUUUUUUUUUUACAUCAACAAUAAAUAACCGAUAAAGAUCGAGCUCUUCAAAGUUAAAAGUGACGUCGCUUUGUAAUAAAAUUAUUUCAUUUGAAAUGCAUGUACAUACACUGUUGUGACAUAUCACUUUGUUCUUCGAGUAACUGUUUUUUGUUGAUGUAAAAAAAUAAAAUUAUACGUUGCCAACAAUUUCGAUAAUCUACCUGACUGAUCUUAUGGAUUUUUCAGAUUCUUCACAAUUGAAGUUCUUACUUUCACUUUAUCGCAUAGUUUUUUUAUUAUUAUUAUUAUUAUUAUUAUUAUUAUUUUUAUUUUCAAAGUAUGCUAUAAGCCAUACUUGCAUUUUCUACGUACAAUGAAAUUUAUUUAAUUAUCUACCUUACUUAUCAUGUUAUAAAGGAGCGAGACGUUUACAGUGGAGUUUUCAUUUGAUUACUUGCUUCAAUUAUUUGCAAAAAAAUACAUGUUUGUACAAAUACAAUUGUUUGAUAAGCUGUGCUACACAUAAGACUCACGUACAACUGAAGUUGAAAUUCGAGUUUAGCGCAAUAAUGUAUUUAUUGUAAUGUAUAAAUAAUAAUUAAAUGUAAAUUGUGCAAUCACUGUACUCCCAAGA